UACGUAGGUGGCAAGCGUUGUCCGGAUUUACUGGGCGUAAAGGGAGCGUAGGUGGAUUCUUAAGUGAGAUGUGAAAUACCCGGGCUUAACUUGGGUGCUGCAUUUCAAACUGGGAAUCUAGAGUGCAGGAGAGGAAAGUGGAAUUCCUAGUGUAGCGGUGAAAUGCGUAGAGAUUAGGAAGAACACCAGUGGCGAAGGCGACUUUCUGGACUGUAACUGACACUGAGGCUCGAAAGCGUGGGGAGCAAACAGG
Molecule: ribosomal RNA, 253 nt
Filed under: uncultured bacterium
Lineage: Bacteria
Description: partial 16S ribosomal RNA
Rfam family: Bacterial small subunit ribosomal RNA
Source: RNAcentral